Long non-coding RNA from Cygnus olor (mute swan), 2030 nucleotides. RefSeq lists it as uncharacterized. The transcript has 3 exons. The record is from RefSeq and is a predicted model, not a curated record. Lineage: Eukaryota; Metazoa; Chordata; Aves; Anseriformes; Anatidae.
GAAUGGUUAGGAUGUAGUCAUAGAAAGGCUUGAAUGCCAAGAUCUUUAUUCCUAUGCAUUUUGAGCUUCAGGCUGCCCCCAAAACGUCUUGUGGAGCCAGCAUAUGUAGCCCAUAACAAUAAAAACAUGAAGAACAAUAAUAUUACAUCAGUGAGAUUUUCCCCUGUGUCUGGAGCACUUGAUCCAGAUUUCAUAUGCUUUGAUGUGUACAACUGAUUUUCCAAAGCACACAGCUCUAUAUCAUGCUAUUCAUCCUGUGCAUGAAACCGGUUCAUUCAUAGACUCCUAGACAAAUUGGUGUAAUGACAGUAUGUGACCGAAUAUAGAAAGUCAUCGUUUGAAAGCUGGUCAGGAGCCGAUGACAGGGACCAGUCAGAAUGGGACGUGGAUUGGACAGGCACAGCAAACGGGAGGUACAAGAGCAACAAAGUCAGGAGGUCAGACUCAGCCUCGAGGCUGAGAACCGAAAAGGAGGGGGACAAAUUAAUUCCCAUCUUGUACCUGCGUGUUCAUGCUUUGCAAUUACCCUGGGGUCAGCAGUGACGAUGUAUCAUCCUCCAAGUGAAGUAUUUCCAUAAUUUUAGACACCAUAAGGAAAUCACAGUAGCUGUCAUAUACUGUUUCUUCAUUAUUUCGAAGGGGCAGAGAAAGGAGAGGGAAGGAGGAUUUUAACUUCCACCCAGUUUCCCUGCUAUUUAUACUCAAGAAAAACGAUAGUUUUGGCAACCUCCCUUCUCACCCGUGGCAUAUCGAGAGUGGCCACAAGGAGGUGUUGUUUUUCCAAGCCGUGCAUUAGUAAUCCUGUGAUACCAGAAUGCCUAAGAGGCGCCUUUUGGGGCUAAAAUAUGUACUGAAAGAUAAAUGUCUCCUAAUUUAUCUUCUUGUCUAAACAGAGGAAUCAGAGACAGCUUGGAAGUAAUGUGUUCUGGUCUUUAUAGAUGGAGAACCGAGGUGUAAGGUGAUGUUGCUUGUCCCUUUGCUGACUGACCAGAGCAGAGGGAGGCCAGAUGAGGGGAUGAAUUUACUUUGUGUGGACCUGCAGUGGCUUCCUUGUUCUUGCAAAAAGAAAAUAUCAGAGUCAGACCACGUUUCUCAGAACUUCUGUUUCUGGCACUGUUGUGGAACUGAUGCAUUUAUUAACGGUUGCUGAUUUGUAAAAUUAGGCUUUUAGGCACCAGCAAAUGCAUACCUGAAGGAGAUAUAGGACAUUGCCCAGUGACAGGAAAUAGACUAGUGCCAGCUGUGCACCGAAGGCCGGAAUGGAAAGAUCCUUCUUGGCAGAUGACCAGCAUAUCACCAUUCACAAGCCUGCCACUCACUGUUUGUUUUAUGGACUACUACAAAAGAAUACUCAGGAAAUGGAAAGUCACAACCUGUCUGAAGCCCGUGGUCUCUUUAACACUUUUGGGUGUAAUGUGUCAUGUUUCUCAUGGUUCUUUCUCAUGCGUUUUCUCUCUUGACAUAACUUCAGAUUCUGCCUAGCAAGACAGAAUAGCAGGAGAAAGAAAAAAAAUUAGUCUAUCGGUUGAAUAAGCAAUUAGGUAAGCAAGAUAACAUCCUGGUAGUCCAUUUUUUUUUCAUGACAAAACACAAAAGAAGAAUGGAAUAGUGCGUUUUCUUGACAUCAUCCAUAAACAAUUGUUGAGCUGAGAGUGUUCCUAGUUUAAAGAAUACGUUCACACAUCUGAUGAGUCAGGGAAGACAUUUUUACGUAUGGACACACACUAUAAAAAAUACAUGCUAACGUGCAGUCACUCGUAUGUCCAAGUGGUCAAGUUGCCAUCUGUCUCUCGGACAUAACUGACAAAUGUGGCAUAAUUUUAAAUUGCCCCAUUUGAUUUACUGCAAAAAAAAACUAAAGCAGAGAUGGCACAGGUAUCAUUUGGUUAGUCUGUGGAUAAUUAGAAAAAUUACCAUAAAUGCCCACUGUAAAAGCAAUUACGGUAAGUUAAGUUGGCUGUUUUGUUGGGUAAUACUGAUUCUGAUUUCACAUAAAAAAUCCACAUCAAAAAAAUCAACCCACAGCUCAG